GAUGAACGCUGGCGGCGUGCCUAACACAUGCAAGUCGAGCGAUCUUCUUCGGAAGAGAGCGGCGGACGGGUGAGUAACGCGUGGGUAACCUGCCCUGUACACACGGAUAACAUACCGAAAGGUAUGCUAAUACGGGAUAACAUAUUUUUAUCGCAUGGUAAAAAUAUCAAAGCUCCGGCGGUACAGGAUGGACCCGCGUCUGAUUAGCUAGUUGGUGAGGUAAUGGCUCACCAAGGCGACGAUCAGUAGCCGACCUGAGAGGGUGAUCGGCCACACUGGAACUGAGACACGGUCCAAACUCCUACGGGAGGCAGCAGUGGGGAAUAUUGCACAAUGGGCGAAAGCCUGAUGCAGCAACGCCGCGUGAGCGAUGAAGGCCUUCGGGUCGUAAAGCUCUGUCCUCAAGGAAGAUAAUGACGGUACUUGAGGAGGAAGCCCCGGCUAACUACGUGCCAGCAGCCGCCGUAAAAC
RNAcentral lists this ribosomal RNA (471 nucleotides) under uncultured bacterium. Its description in RNAcentral is "bacterial SSU rRNA". It matches the Rfam family "Bacterial small subunit ribosomal RNA", at positions 28 to 526 of the family's 1533-position model. The record is from RNAcentral.